UUUGAGAGACACUGUUCAUUCUUGGU
This 26-nucleotide non-coding RNA is filed under the name Mus musculus (house mouse). Lineage: Eukaryota; Metazoa; Chordata; Mammalia; Rodentia; Muridae. The record is from RNAcentral.